AUACGUAGGGUGCGAGCGUUGUCCGGAAUUACUGGGCGUAAAGAGCUCGUAGGUGGUUUGUCGCGUCGUCUGUGAAAUUCCGGGGCUUAACUCCGGGCGUGCGGGCGAUACGGGCAUAACUUGAGUACUGUAGGGGAGACUGGAAUUCCUGGUGUAGCGGUGAAAUGCGCAGAUAUCAGGAGGAACACCGGUGGCGAAGGCGGUUAUCUGGGCAGUAACUGACGCUGAGGAGCAAAAGCAUGGGUAGCGAACAGGAUUAGAUACCCUGGUAGUCCAUGCCGUAAACGGUGGGCGCUAGGUGUAGGGGUCUUCCACGACUUCUGUGCCGUAGCUAACGCAUUAAGCGCCCCGCCUGGGGAGUACGGUCGCAAGGCUAAAACUCAAAUGAAUUGGCGGGG
Molecule: ribosomal RNA, 398 nt
Filed under: uncultured bacterium
Lineage: Bacteria
Description: partial 16S ribosomal RNA
Rfam family: Bacterial small subunit ribosomal RNA
Source: RNAcentral